RNAcentral lists this ribosomal RNA (2330 nucleotides) under Escherichia coli. RNAcentral describes it as "partial 23S ribosomal RNA". It matches the Rfam family "Bacterial large subunit ribosomal RNA", at positions 483 to 2798 of the family's 2925-position model. The record is from RNAcentral. Lineage: Bacteria; Pseudomonadati; Pseudomonadota; Gammaproteobacteria; Enterobacterales; Enterobacteriaceae.
ACCGAUAGUGAACCAGUACCGUGAGGGAAAGGCGAAAAGAACCCCGGCGAGGGGAGUGAAAAAGAACCUGAAACCGUGUACGUACAAGCAGUGGGAGCACGCUUAGGCGUGUGACUGCGUACCUUUUGUAUAAUGGGUCAGCGACUUAUAUUCUGUAGCAAGGUUAACCGAAUAGGGGAGCCGAAGGGAAACCGAGUCUUAACUGGGCGUUAAGUUGCAGGGUAUAGACCCGAAACCCGGUGAUCUAGCCAUGGGCAGGUUGAAGGUUGGGUAACACUAACUGGAGGACCGAACCGACUAAUGUUGAAAAAUUAGCGGAUGACUUGUGGCUGGGGGUGAAAGGCCAAUCAAACCGGGAGAUAGCUGGUUCUCCCCGAAAGCUAUUUAGGUAGCGCCUCGUGAAUUCAUCUCCGGGGGUAGAGCACUGUUUCGGCAAGGGGGUCAUCCCGACUUACCAACCCGAUGCAAACUGCGAAUACCGGAGAAUGUUAUCACGGGAGACACACGGCGGGUGCUAACGUCCGUCGUGAAGAGGGAAACAACCCAGACCGCCAGCUAAGGUCCCAAAGUCAUGGUUAAGUGGGAAACGAUGUGGGAAGGCCCAGACAGCCAGGAUGUUGGCUUAGAAGCAGCCAUCAUUUAAAGAAAGCGUAAUAGCUCACUGGUCGAGUCGGCCUGCGCGGAAGAUGUAACGGGGCUAAACCAUGCACCGAAGCUGCGGCAGCGACGCUUAUGCGUUGUUGGGUAGGGGAGCGUUCUGUAAGCCUGUGAAGGUGUGCUGUGAGGCAUGCUGGAGGUAUCAGAAGUGCGAAUGCUGACAUAAGUAACGAUAAAGCGGGUGAAAAGCCCGCUCGCCGGAAGACCAAGGGUUCCUGUCCAACGUUAAUCGGGGCAGGGUGAGUCGACCCCUAAGGCGAGGCCGAAAGGCGUAGUCGAUGGGAAACAGGUUAAUAUUCCUGUACUUGGUGUUACUGCGAAGGGGGGACGGAGAAGGCUAUGUUGGCCGGGCGACGGUUGUCCCGGUUUAAGCGUGUAGGCUGGUUUUCCAGGCAAAUCCGGAAAAUCAAGGCUGAGGCGUGAUGACGAGGCACUACGGUGCUGAAGCAACAAAUGCCCUGCUUCCAGGAAAAGCCUCUAAGCAUCAGGUAACAUCAAAUCGUACCCCAAACCGACACAGGUGGUCAGGUAGAGAAUACCAAGGCGCUUGAGAGAACUCGGGUGAAGGAACUAGGCAAAAUGGUGCCGUAACUUCGGGAGAAGGCACGCUGAUAUGUAGGUGAAGUCCCUCGCGGAUGGAGCUGAAAUCAGUCGAAGAUACCAGCUGGCUGCAACUGUUUAUUAAAAACACAGCACUGUGCAAACACGAAAGUGGACGUAUACGGUGUGACGCCUGCCCGGUGCCGGAAGGUUAAUUGAUGGGGUCAGCGCAAGCGAAGCUCUUGAUCGAAGCCCCGGUAAACGGCGGCCGUAACUAUAACGGUCCUAAGGUAGCGAAAUUCCUUGUCGGGUAAGUUCCGACCUGCACGAAUGGCGUAAUGAUGGCCAGGCUGUCUCCACCCGAGACUCAGUGAAAUUGAACUCGCUGUGAAGAUGCAGUGUACCCGCGGCAAGACGGAAAGACCCCGUGAACCUUUACUAUAGCUUGACACUGAACAUUGAGCCUUGAUGUGUAGGAUAGGUGGGAGGCUUAGAAGUGUGGACGCCAGUCUGCAUGGAGCCGACCUUGAAAUACCACCCUUUAAUGUUUGAUGUUCUAACGUUGACCCGUAAUCCGGGUUGCGGACAGUGUCUGGUGGGUAGUUUGACUGGGGCGGUCUCCUCCUAAAGAGUAACGGAGGAGCACGAAGGUUGGCUAAUCCUGGUCGGACAUCAGGAGGUUAGUGCAAUGGCAUAAGCCAGCUUGACUGCGAGCGUGACGGCGCGAGCAGGUGCGAAAGCAGGUCAUAGUGAUCCGGUGGUUCUGAAUGGAAGGGCCAUCGCUCAACGGAUAAAAGGUACUCCGGGGAUAACAGGCUGAUACCGCCCAAGAGUUCAUAUCGACGGCGGUGUUUGGCACCUCGAUGUCGGCUCAUCACAUCCUGGGGCUGAAGUAGGUCCCAAGGGUAUGGCUGUUCGCCAUUUAAAGUGGUACGCGAGCUGGGUUUAGAACGUCGUGAGACAGUUCGGUCCCUAUCUGCCGUGGGCGCUGGAGAACUGAGGGGGGCUGCUCCUAGUACGAGAGGACCGGAGUGGACGCAUCACUGGUGUUCGGGUUGUCAUGCCAAUGGCACUGCCCGGUAGCUAAAUGCGGAAGAGAUAAGUGCUGAAAGCAUCUAAGCACGAAACUUGCC